Molecule: ribosomal RNA, 253 nt
Filed under: uncultured bacterium
Lineage: Bacteria
Description: partial 16S ribosomal RNA
Rfam family: Bacterial small subunit ribosomal RNA
Source: RNAcentral
UACGGAGGGAGCUAGCGUUGUUCGGAAUUACUGGGCGUAAAGCGCGCGUAGGCGGCUUUGUAAGUUAGAGGUGAAAGCCCGGAGCUCAACUCCGGAACUGCCUUUAAGACUGUAUCGCUUGAAUCCAGGAGAGGUGAGUGGAAUUCCGAGUGUAGAGGUGAAAUUCGUAGAUAUUCGGAAGAACACCAGUGGCGAAGGCGGCUCACUGGACUGGUAUUGACGCUGAGGUGCGAAAGCGUGGGGAGCAAACAGG